CAGGAUGAACGCUAGCGACAGGCUUAACACAUGCAAGUCGAGGGGCAGCGGGGGAGUAGCAAUGCUCCCGCCGGCGACCGGCGCACGGGUGAGUAACACGUAUGAAACCUGCCCGUAGCAGGGGGGGAUAAGCGGAAGAAAUUCCGUCUAAUACCGCGUAACAACCCUUGGAGGCAUCUCCUCGGGUUUAAAGGAAGCGAUUCCGGCUACGGAUGGUCAUGCGUCGCAUUAGCUGGUUGGCGGGGUAACGGCCCACCAAGGCGACGAUGCGUAGGGGUUCUGAGAGGAAGGUCCCCCACACUGGUACUGAGACACGGACCAGACUCCUACGGGAGGCAGCAGUGAGGAAUAUUGGUCAAUGGCCGCAGGGCUGAACCAGCCAAGUCGCGUGAGGGAUGACGGUCCUAUGGAUUGUAAACCUCUUUUGUCAGGGAGCAAAGGGCGCCACGUGUGGCGCUUUGCGAGUACCUGAAGAAAAAGCAUCGGCUAACUCCGUGCCAGCAGCCGCGGUAAUACGGAGGAUGCGAGCGUUAUCCGGAUUUAUUGGGUUUAAAGGGUGCGCAGGCGGAAUGUCAAGUCAGCGGUAAAAUUUCGGGGCUCAACCCCGUCGUGCCGUUGAAACUGGCGUUCUUGAGUGAGCGAGAAGUAUGCGGAAUGCGUGGUGUAGCGGUGAAAUGCAUAGAUAUCACGCAGAACUCCGAUUGCGAAGGCAGCAUACCGGCGCUCAACUGACGCUCAUGCACGAAAGCGUGGGUAUCGAACAGGAUUAGAUACCCUGGUAGUCCACGCAGUAAACGAUGAAUAC
This 805-nucleotide ribosomal RNA is filed under the name uncultured bacterium. Its description in RNAcentral is "bacterial SSU rRNA". It matches the Rfam family "Bacterial small subunit ribosomal RNA", at positions 25 to 816 of the family's 1533-position model. The record is from RNAcentral.